RNAcentral lists this long non-coding RNA (387 nucleotides) under Olea europaea (common olive). RNAcentral describes it as "long non-coding RNA (OEUR_LNC015189)". Lineage: Eukaryota; Viridiplantae; Streptophyta; Magnoliopsida; Lamiales; Oleaceae. The record is from RNAcentral.
AAAUGUGAGAUCCAAACCUAAUCACGUCUCCCACCUUGAAAAAUCCAUUUGUGGUAUUCGAUGGGUGCCAAGGGCGUGCUAUAAUGAAUUGCGCAUAUUUUUACUUGCAUUUGACUUUGUUAAUUCUUAAUCUAAUGGCAAUACUCAAUACAUUUUUGUUAUUGUCAAUGGUACAUUAGUUCAUACUACAGCUUGACAGUGGUUCAUCAUCUCAUUCUCUUGGGAUCAGUAAUGAAUUCAGGUGGUGGCUAGUUAGGAUGGAUUCGUCGGAUCAGUCGGGUGUCGGCCGGCUGUGACUGUGAAUCUGUGAUGACAGUAACAGAUUUGGGCUGAGACCUGGCUGUGAUGCUAUUGGGCAGUUCACAGUUGAACCUCUCUUCAUUUUUU